RNAcentral lists this long non-coding RNA (465 nucleotides) under Heterocephalus glaber (naked mole-rat). RNAcentral describes it as "lncRNA (ENSHGLG00000041821.1)". The record is from RNAcentral. Lineage: Eukaryota; Metazoa; Chordata; Mammalia; Rodentia; Bathyergidae.
UGGGGAUCCACACAUCUGAGACCGUGCAGGUGCAUGUCUGAUCCUACCUCAGUCCCAGCUACUUGAGAGGUUAUGGCCAGAGGAUCACUUGAACCCAGAAGUUUGAGAUCAGCCCAGGCAACAAAGUGGACCUCAUUUAAAAAAAGAGAAAUAGAUUUGAUGGCGCCUCUCAGGAAUUAAGGCUAAAUGAAGUCCUAAAGUUGGGUCCUGAUCCAGUAGGGCUAGAGUCCUUGUAAGACCAGGAGGUCACUUGUUCUGUGUGCACACCAAGGAAUGAGCAUGAGGACAGAGGAAGAAGGCUGCCCUCUACUAGCCAGACCACAGCUCUGCAACCAAACUGGCUUGUACUUCUAGAUUCCAGAAAAAUGAGAAAAUAAAUUUCUGUUGUUUAAGCCAUCCAGAAUGUAGGCUUUUGUUACGGCAGUCCAAGCAGACUAAUGUAAUAUGCCACACACUCACAGUAAG